Molecule: non-coding RNA, 179 nt
Filed under: Deltaproteobacteria bacterium
Lineage: Bacteria; Pseudomonadati; Myxococcota; Myxococcia
Description: 6S RNA
Rfam family: 6S / SsrS RNA
About the family: E. coli 6S RNA was the first non coding RNA to be sequenced, but its function was unknown until recently.
Source: RNAcentral
GUUCCCCUGCCUUGCUCGUGAUAGGCGGAAACAUUUUGAGCCAAUAGUUUUGAGCCGGGGGCCUUCCCUGCUCUGGUGUGCAUGACCUCAUUGCGCAGGUAAGCCUAAAGGAGUAAUUUGGGCUCCCACCUUUCAGGUAGGUUCAAGACGCGCCGUCUACACGGCUGGGCGGGGGAAUA